Molecule: ribosomal RNA, 326 nt
Filed under: Podarcis cretensis
Lineage: Eukaryota; Metazoa; Chordata; Lepidosauria; Squamata; Lacertidae
Description: partial large subunit ribosomal RNA
Rfam family: Bacterial large subunit ribosomal RNA
Source: RNAcentral
UCUUACGGACUAGCCAAUGAAAUUGAUCCUUCAGUACAAAAGCUGGAAUUAACCCAUAAGACGAGAAGACCCUGUGGAGCUUCAAAACCAAAAUCACUAAACAUGCCUCCUGGUUUUUUAGUUGGGGCGACUUUGGAGCAAAAAAAAUCCUCCAAAACAUAAAGUCAUUUAUUAAGAAAAACACACCAAAAAUAAUAUUAUAGACCCAGCAGUACUAGUUUACUGUCUGAUCAAUGAACCAAGUUACCCCAGGGAUAACAGCGCCAUCCUCUUCUAGAGUCCUUAUCGACAAGAGGGUUUACGACCUCGAUGUUGGAUCAGGACAC